This 1878-nucleotide long non-coding RNA is filed under the name Varroa destructor (honeybee mite). RNAcentral's name for it is "uncharacterized LOC111245755". The record is from RNAcentral. Lineage: Eukaryota; Metazoa; Arthropoda; Arachnida; Mesostigmata; Varroidae.
CAUUGUUUCAUGAAUCCAGUGUUGACACAAGUAGGUUAAACUAACGUUUUCAUCAGUUCCUCGUGGCUCAUUCUUUCGUUUGCAACCUUCCUCUUUAAUCUUAUUUUUUCGGAUUUUCCAGUACCUCUGCUCUCUGUCUGUACGUACAUGUGGGACUUCGAUGUGAGAUCAUGAACGCACGACUAGAGAGUUGGGCAUAUAUCAGUGCGUCUAUUUAGUGAAUCCAUAUACGCCCAGGCACAAACAUAGAGUAAGACGUUUUAAGGAAUUUUCUCUUUCACCCUACUAUUUAUUCACGGUGUAACUCAGUGGUCUCUAAUGUGCGGCAGUCGAUUCCACCGUAAUAGAUAUCUACCUCGAGCUUCGUUGUGAUCUACUAAACAUUUGUGUGUUUAGGAGUCACUUCGUUUAUAGACACGGCGACGUGGAAGCUGACGAACCAAACAGACUACCGACAAUAGCCUUGGGGACGUUAGAAUUCUGGCAAGGAUAGAGCCAGACAAACCGAUACCAGCGUUAGAGAAAGAUGCAACGAAGACGUCAGAUAGGAAGCUCACAGGCGGGUCUGUUGAGACAAAGGAAGUCCUAAAGCAGGGAAAGAAGUCGAAUGCAGUUUAUCUUCAGAGUAAGCCUAAUAAACGAGGUAGUUAAUCGAAAGGGAAAAAGAUCGGUCCGGAACAACGGGCAAAAUAGGAAGACAAAAAUGAAAGGCAAGAAGACAGCGAAAACGCGUGACGGUCCCAGCGGAAACAAGCAGCGGAUUUUCACAAAGGAUUCUACUAUUCAGCCGAAGCGUAUCGACGGAUACGAUUUAUUCCUAGCUUUCCUCGUACCAAUGAUCCUGUCGAUGAGGAAAUUCAUCAAAGGAGACGACUGAUCAUCGCGAUGUGCAACAACGGCGAUGACCAUGAUUCAACAGAGGCCCUAUCUUCCCCCACAACAGAAUGACUUAUAUCUUUAUGUGACACUCUACUAAUCAAAUUCUACAUGGGAGUCGACAAAACUCAUGCGUGAGGAAGCUCAUUUUUACUAUGAUUUUCUACCUAAAAGACGACACAGGGCGGCCCAGUGAUGUCAAUGGAAAAAACGAAGUUGAUUUUUGAAUUGAGUAGGAACUCAGAAACGGAGUUACUUGUAAUGUAACAUUAUUUAUGCCAACUGCCUCUGAGAGGGUAGCUACCAUAAAAUUUCAAAAUGUAUCCAUUCAUGCGAUACUCCCGGUAUCCCGUUUCUUAGCGCCUAACUAGUGCGCGUAUAAGAGUGCGCACCCUCUGUUGUAAAUACAGACUCAACUUUGGGAAUUUCCAUUAAUUCUCUCAAAAAUAUAAGCUCUGCGUUAACGUAAGAGUCCUAUCACAAUACACUGAAACUUUUCAAACCCAUUUGUUAAUACCUUUUUAACCCAUGAAUCACGUGUCAUCUCGUGUAUUGCAUGUCUGAUCUACCUUCUGGAGAUUUAAUUAGACUUUCUUGAAAUUUGGCUGAAGACCACAGAAUAAAAGCAAAGUAGAGUCACAAUUCAAGUCAUCGUACAUCUGUAGGCAAUGGACUGUAAUAGGCAAUGAUUCCUUAGUUUAAUGAGAUUAUAAAGCUUAUUAUAAUUAACUUUGUAUCGCUUCCUGGCGUUCCUAAGGUUUAAUAGUUAAUAUUUUUUUUAUUGACGUACAGAUCUUGCUCUUCAUUCAUUGUGCAACGCGAUUAUGUAAAUCUGAAGAUUACGCACUAACAACUGUCGUGUCUCUAGAAAAAUAAGGCAGUGAUACUGUCUUUGCCCACGUACCAAAAAAUAAAAUAAAAAAUUAUCAAACUUGAUAGUAAUAAAGAUGUGGAAAAUUCUUGCUUACUCACCCUGAGCGAUUUUGCUCUCAGUUCAAUAAA